This 373-nucleotide ribosomal RNA is filed under the name uncultured eukaryote. Its description in RNAcentral is "partial 18S ribosomal RNA". It matches the Rfam family "Eukaryotic small subunit ribosomal RNA", at positions 592 to 976 of the family's 1831-position model. The record is from RNAcentral.
CAAUAGCGUAUAUUAAAGUUGUUGCAGUUAAAAAGCUCGUAGUUGGAUUUCUGGGAGGGUGCCAAUGUCCGUCAACGUGCGUGUGCAGCGGCGCCCUUCCAUCCUUCUGUUAACGCCUCUUGGCAUUCGUUUGCUGGUGGCGGGCUCAGAUAUUUUACCUUGAGAAAAUUAGAGUGUUUCAGGCAGGCUAGGCCGGAAUACAUUAGCAUGGAAUAAUGGAACAGGACUAUGGUCUCUUUGUUGGUUUGAGGGACUGCAGUAAUGAUUAAUAGGGACAGUUGGGGGCAUUAGUAUUUAAUUGUCAGAGGUGGAAUUCUCAGAUUUGUUAAAGACUAACUUAUGCGAAAGCAUUUGCCAAGGAUGUUUUCAUUAA